RNAcentral lists this unclassified non-coding RNA (274 nucleotides) under uncultured Geastrales. RNAcentral's name for it is "sequence contains 5.8S rRNA gene, ITS2, 28S rRNA gene". The stretch from base 1 to 52 matches the Rfam family "5.8S ribosomal RNA", at positions 103 to 154 of the family's 154-position model. Lineage: Eukaryota; Fungi; Basidiomycota; Agaricomycetes; Geastrales. The record is from RNAcentral.
AACGCAUCUUGCGCUCCUUGGUAUUCCGAGGAGCAUGCCUGUUUGAGUGUCGCGAACUCCUCUCAAUGUCAACUUUGCUGUUGACAUUGGAUUUGGGUGCUGUUGUGGACAUGAACACGACUCAUCCUAAAUGCAUUAGCGAUCCGUCCUUGAUCACGCACAAUGUGAUAAAUAAAAUAGCAUUGUGAAGAUGAAGUGUGGGUUGCUUCUAACCGUCGAAAGACAACAUAUGUCGUUUGACCUCAAAUCAGGUAGGACUACCCGCUGAACUUAA